AGAGCAGGUCGGGCGGUCGCCGUUGCGUCGUAAGAUGCGAGGGAGGAAAGUCCGAACACUAUAGGGCAGCGAGCCAGUUAACGGCUGGGCGCGGGCUUGCAGAGUGCGACUCAUUUGGGUCGCCCUCCGGGUUCGUGACGACAAGUGCAACAGAGAAGAGACCAGCCAGCGGGCCGCGUGCGGCUGCUCCGCGAGGAGCGGCGCAUGAAAGGCAGCGGGUGAUGGGUGAAACGGUGCGGCCCCAGUGGGGCUUAAUGUAAGAGCGCACCAGCGCGUUUGGUAACAGGCGCGGCUAGGCAAACUCCUCGCAGUGCAAGACCAAAUAGGGAGGCGUCAGACAGGGCUGCCCGCCCGAAGCGCGCUGGUUUCGACUAGCGCCUACGACCUCCGGGUAGGUCGCUCGAUCCAUCCGGCGACGGAUGGGCUAGAUGAAUGAUCGCUGCUUCAUUCUGUCAAGAAUGGAGUACAGAAUUCGGCUUACAGACCUGCUCUCAAC
RNAcentral lists this RNase P RNA (496 nucleotides) under Acidobacteriota bacterium. Its description in RNAcentral is "RNase P RNA component class A". It matches the Rfam family "Bacterial RNase P class A". From Rfam's summary of the family: Ribonuclease P (RNase P) is a ubiquitous endoribonuclease, found in archaea, bacteria and eukarya as well as chloroplasts and mitochondria. Its best characterised activity is the generation of mature 5'-ends of tRNAs by cleaving the 5'-leader elements of precursor-tRNAs. Lineage: Bacteria; Pseudomonadati; Acidobacteriota. The record is from RNAcentral.